RNAcentral lists this ribosomal RNA (1480 nucleotides) under uncultured Bordetella sp. RNAcentral's name for it is "partial 16S-23S ribosomal RNA intergenic spacer". It matches the Rfam family "Bacterial small subunit ribosomal RNA". Lineage: Bacteria; Pseudomonadati; Pseudomonadota; Betaproteobacteria; Burkholderiales; Alcaligenaceae. The record is from RNAcentral.
GGUUCGAUCCUGGCUCAGAUUGAACGCUGGCGGGAUGCUUUACACAUGCAAGCCGAAUGGGGCAGCACGGACUUCGGUCUGGUGGCGAGUGGUGAACGGGUGAGUAAUGUAUCGGAACGUGCCUAGUAAAGGGGGAUAACUACGCGAAAGCGUAGCUAAUACCGUACGCCCUUCGGGGAAAGCGGGGACCUUCGGGCCUGCACUAUUAGAUGGCCAGAUAUCGGAUUAGCUAGUUGGUGGGUAACGGCUCACCAAGGCGACGAUCCGUAGCUGGUUUGAGAGGACGACCAGCGCCACACUGGGACUGAGAUGACGGCCCAGACUACCGGAGGCAGCAGUGGGAAUUUUGGACAAUGGGGAAACCCUGAUCCAGCCAUCCCGCGUGUGGGUGAUGAAGGCCUUCGGGUUGUAAAGCACUUUUGGCAGGAGCAAAACGAAUAAUGAUACCCCGUGCAACUGACGGUACUCAGCAGAAUAAGCACCGGCUAACUACGUGCCAGCAGCCGCGUGUAAUACGUAGGUGCAAGCGUUAAUCGGAAUUACUAAGUGGAAGCGUGCGGCAGUGGUUCGGAAAGAAAGAUGUGAAAUCCCAGAGCUUAACUUUGAACUGCAUUUUAACUACCGAGCUAGAGUGUGUCAGGAGUGGAGGUAGAAUUCGCGUGUAGCAGGAAAUGCGUAGAUAUGCGGAGAACACCGAUGGCGAAGGCAGCCCUCCUUGGGAGCAACACACUGACGCUCAAUGCACGAAAGCGUGGGGAGCAACAGGAUUAGAUGGCCCUGGUAGUCCACGCCCUAAACGAUGUCACAAUCAGCUGUUGGGGCCUUCGGGCUCUGGUAGCGCAGCUUUCAAUCGCGUAGUUGACCGCCUGGGGAGUACGGUCGCAAGAUUAAAACUCAAAUAGAAUUGAUUGGGACCCGCACAAGCGGUGGAUGAUGGAUUAAUUCCGAUGCAACGCGAAAACUCCACCUACCCUUGGACAUGUCUGGAACCCUGAAGAGAUUUGGGAGGCUGCAAGAGAACCGGAACACAGGUGCUGCAUGGCUGUCGUCAGCUCGUGUCGUGAGAUGCUGGGCUAAGUCCCGCAACGAGUUACAACCCUUGUCAUUAGUUGCCACGAAAGGGCACUCUAAUGACUGCUAUGGGUGACAAACCGGAGGAAGGUGGGGAUGACGUCAGUCCUCGCGGCUCUGCGGGGUAGGCUUCACACGUCACAAUGGUCGGGACAGAGGGUCGCCAACCCGCGAGGGGGAGCCAAUCCCAGAAACCCGAUCGUAGUCCGGAUCGCAGUCUGCAACUCGACUGCGUGAAGUCGGAAUCGCCAGUAAUCGCGGAUCAGCAUGUCGCGGUGGAAUACGUCUGGUCUGUACACACCGCCGUCACACCAUGGGAGUGGGUUUUACCAGAAGUAGUUAGCCUAACCGUAAGGAGUGGCGAUUACCACGGUAGGAUUCAUGACUGGGGUGGAAGUCACCAAGGUAA